CUGCAGCACAGGGAGGUUCCCAGGCUAGAAGUCCAAUCAGAGCUGUAGCCGCCAGCCUACACCACAGCCACAGCAACGUGGGAUCCGGGCCACAGCUGCAACCUACACCACAGCCCAGAGCAACGCCAGAUCCUUAACCCACUGAGCGAGGCCAGGCAUGGGAUCCACAUCAUCAUGGAUGCUAGUCGGGUUCGCUAACCCGCUGAGCCAUGAUGGGAACUCCAGGAACUCAGUAGACAUUUUUUGGACAUUAAAUGAGUGGUUUUUAUUUUUGAGAGAGGAGAAAAUCAACUCGGGGGUCGGAUGUCUAAGACAUUACCCAUAGGUUCCUCUCCCUCCAGCAAAAAACUCAAUCUCACUCUCCCAACUCUGCUCCCCAUGGAGAGUGCCGGUGGUCUUGAUUCCCCAGUGAGAGAUACACACGAAGCCUCGGCCUGACCUAAGAAACAGCUCCUUCACUGUUGGCAGGUUCAAAUCCUGAGAUGGGGGCGGGAAGCCUCUACUCGGGAAUAUUACAAGAAGAAAACAGAACAUCGUCAGAACAGCCCCAGAAAGGCACCGCCUGUGAGGAGCGGAAGGCGCAAGUGACCUCCCAGCCUUUUCCCGCGUGGAGACUCUGCUUUCCAGGGGUGGCAUCAGAGAGCGGGCGGGGGAACCAUGCUGCCGGUGAUGGCAUAAUUGUUCCUUACCUCUCCUGGCUCCCCCAGUGUUAAAUGAGCUUUAUGUCAAUACCACACCCGCAGCUGGGAUGAAUUAUUGAAGCUCAUUCACUGCAAUGGACCCAGGUUCCACUUGCUUGAUGGAAUGGAGGGGAACGUGAGCGUAUUAUUUCUGUUUGCCUUGUGGUCGGUACAUUUUCAGGCUUUUGUUAAUAGGAAGGGACUCAGCCCUGACCAGCAGAUAAUCUCAGCCUCUGCAGCUCAUGGGAUCUGUGGAGUCGGGCAUCGUAGGAGGCGAAGGGCACACAAACACCAUCCAAUGGCUCCAAACCCACAGGGGCUCUUAGUUACGACAAGUGACACUGUCGUCCCCACAUGCCUAUUCACACCCACACAAGCACAUGCAUGCACAGUACACUCAAAGUCUCCGUGAAGGUACGCUGCCCCACCAGGGGCCCCGGAACGAACACAUGAAGGAUGCUGACGUUUUCAAAGACGACUUUCCAAAAACAGGCUUAAACGCCUCUCUCCCUCGCUUCUCCUUCAGCAGCAAUGCCUCGCUAGCAGGGCUGGCUGGUUUGCCUGUGACCCUUGGUGAAAGCGGAUGAUCUGGGGUGACCAAGAUCAAGGAGGGGGGAUUCCGCCGUGGAGGGUCCUCUGUGCACACGUGGGAGAACAGCCUUCCUCCUCGGCUCUCCCGCGAUCCCCCAGGAGCCGGCCUAUCCCAUAUAGAUGUGUUUCUGCCACUUGGCCCAAAUGUCGAAAUGAUUAGUUACAGCUCUGCACUUCCCCACACAUACCUGCGCGGGCCUUCCCAGUCACAGACGUGUGUUUACACACACACACACACACACACACACUACAUACCAGAGAAAGGUUUGAAUGCUGCUGAGAAGGCCUCCCGACCCUGUCAGCUGGUCACAUGCCUCUCACAGAUCCCACCACUAAAUAUAUAUUCCUCGGGAGUCCCCAGCUGAGAAUCAAAUACCUCUGGUCAAGGCAACGCACCCUCAAGUUACCAUCUAACAUUUUGAUGGGAACAGACUCUGCCCAGGGCACUACUCCCUUCCCAGGCUGGCUGAUGGUCACUCAUGCUGCAGGUCUGAUCUGGCUUCCCUGCCUGUUCCCUCUUCCCCCGGAAUAACUGGGGAGGUUCAUGCCUCCAUCGUAAGUGUCGUUAAAUGAUUAGCUGUGUCAUGACAUUGGUGUAGUUUGUGGCCACAGUAAACUGAGAGCUCCACUUGGUUAGGGCCGCCUUUCUUGUUUGUCACUGUACCCUGCAGUGCCUAACCCGGUGCCUGGUACAAAGCAGAGGCUCGAUAAAGCUUACAUGAAGUUGGAGCGUUUGAGGAAAGGUGUGCCAAGGAGAAAAAGAGGCACAAAAAGGUCAGAGGGUCCCCAAAUCUUUUCAUCUUGGGCCUCUGAAUAUCGGUAGCCUUGCCUUUCCUCACCUGCCAAAGUGACAUCCCUUCCCCCUGCCUGGGGCAUGUUAAGAUGCUUAAUGGGAUCACACAGGUGGACAGCACGAGGUCCCAGGGGACAGAGACAUCUCGGCUGGAAGAAACAGGCUCGAGGGGCAGCCUGGCCUGGUCUGUCCGGCCCUCUUUUCCGAAUGUGACUAAGAGUUCAUACCUCUAUGAAGUCUUGUGUGAGGAAUCCUCUAUUCUAGAUGUUUCCUGGUAAUUGAGAUGUACGAUGUGUGUUGCUGAGAAUGUAUGGUGUCAAUAACAAUGACAAAAAUAUUUACAGCUUUACAUUAACGAAAUGUACUUACAUCUACCGAAAGCUUUCUAUGUGCCAAGAACAGAACCAAGCAUUUUAUAAAGGGUUAUAUAUAAUUAUUUCAGUUAAUUCCGUCUCUUAAGUACAUAUUAUUCCCGUUUUACAGAUGGGGAACAGGCUCAAAGAGAUGAAGUCAUUGGCCCCAGGUCACACUAGGGCCAAACUAGGAACAGUUGAGUCAGGACAGGACUCCGGAGGCCAAGCUUUCACUCUCUGGGAUACACAACCUUCUCUUUUAAGCCCACAAGGAGCCGCCAGCCCACCCUUUACCCCCGGACUUUCAUACUCACUCAGCAGGCAGAAGGGGAUGCCGUUUAUAGACCUGGGACCGAUGCGGGAUCUUGGAAGCUGCCAUUACUUCCUUGUCCUAGAAGCACCUAACAUGGCUCCUGAUUCCUAGCAUCGGAGAUGAGAAGAGAUGCCAGAACAUCUGGAAUUGUAGGAGGAGGCAGACAGAAACAGCUGGGAGGUACCCAUGCCUGGGCGUCCCCCAGCAAGACACUCCUGGGCGCCAGCCCUCCCGCCUGAGAGAUGGGCCCAUGUCAGCCUUCCCUCUGGAUUUCUCCUCUCUCAGUGGUGAUUCUCAGGGCUCCCUUUGGAAUGAUGACCUGAGGCAGGUGAUAGGUGAGCCACACGGGGCCACAUAAACCAAAGCCAGUCAGGGCGAGGGGGGACCUGCUCCUGAGCGUGGGCCCUGUUCUCCUGGGACCUCCCGAAGGGUCCAGCCCCUUCCAGGAAGUGAGAACGACACUGGACACGGGGUGGUGGCCCCCCUUUGCCCAGCCCUCCCUAGUGCACUGACCCCAGCUUUAUUCCUCCAGGGCUUGGCCGGCCUCACGCUCCAUAGCGACAAAUGAGGACUGGACCCAGCGAAGACCCCUAAGGUUCCAGAUUCGUGCGGCUGAAACUCAGUCCGUGUUGCAGACACUUCUGGCUCGUCCUUUUCACCUGCAUGGAUCCUGGUGUUUCCCCUCCGGUCUGUGAACUCCUACAGGACAGGGUCUAAACCCGUGUUGAAAGUGGUCCAUUGGCACGCACGCUCUAUGGCCACUUGCUUCUAUGGUACUGUUUUCCGGGAACUGGACAGCUAGAGGGCACGUCCCUGACGCCCUUACAACUAAGAGCACUUGUGCGACUGGGAGGCCAACACGUGGAAGAGGCCUUCUUUGUGCUAUCUUGAGCUUUCUGCUGGCAGGCCAGGUCCUGGAGACAUGGGAUUCUCCUGGAACAGUUCUUCCAGCUUCCUGGUCUCUUUUCCCUGAUUCCUAGACGGCGAGGCCUGGCAGGUCUUUAAUUUGACAGUCCCAGUGGUGGCCCUCUGAGUCCCCAUCCUGCUGAUCGGGGCAUAUGUAUUCCAUCUCCUCGGUAUGAGCGCUCUUGGCACAGCUUCCGGGAGUCCAUCCACUCUGCAAGUGAUCUUAAUGUUUUGGUAAGCACUCCAUGCCUAUAUUAAGUUCCCUUCCGUUUAAAAUACCUAGAGUAGUUUCUGUUUCCUGUACCGAAACAAGCCCUCCGAAAGCUGUGAAAUGGCUUCCUGGAAAAACUGGUCAGGAGAGUGAAGGGUAGGAAGGCAGGUGAGCAGAAGCAAACAUACAUGAUCAUAAAUCAGCUUCUGUUACUCACAACCGGUAGAUUUUCCCAUUUAGAGUAUAAGAAAGGUAGAGGCAGGAGCAGAGCGGGUAGGCAGGUAGGCACAGAAAUAGACGUAUACUUCAGGGGUCAUAAGGGUUCUACAGAGAGGAGAGGCAGGCCAAUAAGCACACGGUUCAAAUGUGGGAAUUCAGAAAUCUGUUACAGAUCCACCCCUGAAUGCAGAUUAAUGUGUGUGACACUUUGAUAC
RNAcentral lists this long non-coding RNA (4281 nucleotides) under Sus scrofa (pig). Its description in RNAcentral is "lncRNA (ENSSSCG00015052220.1)". The record is from RNAcentral. Lineage: Eukaryota; Metazoa; Chordata; Mammalia; Artiodactyla; Suidae.